GGGUGCGAUCAUACCAGCACUAAUGCACCGGAUCCCAUCAGAACUCCGAAGUUAAGCGUAGAGUAGUACUAGGAUGGGUGACCUCCUGGGAAGUCCUCGUGUUGCACCCC
This 110-nucleotide ribosomal RNA is filed under the name Pistia stratiotes (water lettuce). Lineage: Eukaryota; Viridiplantae; Streptophyta; Magnoliopsida; Alismatales; Araceae. The record is from RNAcentral.